CCCCACCUUCAUGGUUGCUAUGGCAAUGUCCCAAGCCUUGAUGACCUCCCCUGCAGGUACAGAGGCAAACAGGACCACUUUAGCAGGGUUCUGAUUCUGGGCUCAAACAGUGCUUCUGAAGAGUUAAUGCACCACACUCAUGGGGAAGCUGAACAUCCUUUAGAAAUGGGACCAGAAGGUGAGAUACCUGGUUGCAUUAAGUGCUACCAGGUCUAAGAACUGUAAAAGAUCACCUGACCCUGAACAAAAGAGUUUAAGAUGCAAGACAGUCCACCUUUGAAGGGGGAGUAAGGUGUUGGGAGGUGAUGAGGAGAAGGGGAGACAAAGAUCAGUAUAGUUACAGAACGGUAGAAAAAAAAAGAGUGACCGAAAGAGUUAACAGACUGUGAUAAACCAUUCCUCCCUGAGCUUGGUCCUGAGAAAAUGGUUUCUGCUUGUGACAGCUUGUGUCCACCUCGAACCUAUCCUACCAGCCCACUGACCACGCCUACCUUUUCCCAGGUCAAAGGAGAAUUUGUCCUUGCGAUCCAGACUGGAGUCAAACUUUGUGCCAUCUAAUAGCCAGCCAGUAUAGUGGACAAAGACUCGGUCCCCAAUCAUGGGCAUCUCUGUACCUGUGCCCUCUCUCUUGAUGACCUGGGAGGAAGGGGGAGAAAGUACAGCAAGACUUGGUUUGAAAAAGGAGACAAAAGGCUGAGAGAUUUGAGUUCAAGUUUCCGCUGUAUGGAUAAGUUUUAAAAAUUCUCCACACCUUAUUUGUAAAGCAGUGAUGAUAA
Molecule: non-coding RNA, 776 nt
Organism: Macaca mulatta (Rhesus monkey)
Lineage: Eukaryota; Metazoa; Chordata; Mammalia; Primates; Cercopithecidae
Source: RefSeq, a predicted model, not a curated record